GUUUCAGGGCGAGGUGAAAUUCCUCACCGGCGGUUAAAGUCCGCGAGCAUGUACGUGAGUCAUACAGCUGAUUUAAAAGACGGUUUUGUUUUUAAUCGAAGUAUAUUAUGUAUAAGCUGAUCAGGUGAAAUUCCUGAACCGACGGUAUAGUCCGGAUGGGAGAAA
Molecule: non-coding RNA, 165 nt
Filed under: human gut metagenome
Description: FMN riboswitch (RFN element)
Rfam family: FMN riboswitch aptamer (RFN element)
About the family: The RFN element is a highly conserved domain that is found frequently in the 5'-untranslated regions of prokaryotic mRNAs that encode for flavin mononucleotide (FMN) biosynthesis and transport proteins. This element is a metabolite-dependent riboswitch that directly binds FMN in the absence of proteins. In Bacillus subtilis, the riboswitch most likely controls gene expression by causing premature transcription termination within the 5' untranslated region of the ribDEAHT operon and precluding access to the ribosome-binding site of ypaA mRNA.
Source: RNAcentral